CCAGCAGGUGCCGUCUACAUCUGCCGGCCGUCUGUAAGCGCGCCGCCCGUACCGGCACGGGGCGGCACAGACGAAAGGA
This 79-nucleotide non-coding RNA is filed under the name bovine gut metagenome. RNAcentral's name for it is "aspS RNA". It matches the Rfam family "aspS RNA". The record is from RNAcentral.